CCCUCUGCGACAGUUUCCCGAGGUACCUAGUGUCUGAGCGGCACAGACGAGAUCUCGAUCGAAGGCGAGAUGGCGGACGUGCUAGAUCUUCACGAGGCUGGGGGCGAAGAUUUCGCCAUGGAUGAGGAUGGGGACGAGAGCAUUCACAAACUGAAAGAAAAAGCGAAGAAACGGAAGGGUCGCGGCUUUGGCUCCGGUGAGUGUGGGGAAAAUGGGGUAGAGUGGCCCUAGUAGGGCAGGAGCUACGGGUUUUGGAGUCCCCACCCAACUCAUAGGAACAAUGGGAGAAAGGGGGAAUUUUCGGUGAUCUCGUGUAUGUCCCUUAUAGAAGAGGGGUCCCGAGCGCGGAUGCGUGAGGAUUAUGACAGCGUGGAGCAGGAUGGCGAUGAACCCGGACCACAACGCUCUGUUGAAGGCUGGAUUCUCUUUGUAACUGGAGUCCAUGAGGAAGCCACUGAAGAAGACAUACACGACAAAUUCGCAGAAUAUGGGGAAAUUAAAAACAUUCACCUCAACCUCGACAGGCGAACGGGAUAUCUGAAG
RNAcentral lists this small RNA (543 nucleotides) under Pongo abelii (Sumatran orangutan). RNAcentral describes it as "retained intron". The record is from RNAcentral. Lineage: Eukaryota; Metazoa; Chordata; Mammalia; Primates; Hominidae.